CAGAAGGACAAAGCAGUGAGGGCCAGCAGCGCCUCCUGCCUCUACUUCCCUUGGACCGGCCCCUCCAUUAACGUUGAGCUAGUGCUUGUCAGCGGAAGAAGGCAGACAACAAUAAGUCCUAUCAUCUUGCAUUAAGCCGUAUGCAACUAUUACAUGGCUCAGUUGAUGAGCAAGCUGACGGUGGUUGAGGAGAGGCAGUGAUCGGCGGGCAGGAGCAGGCCAGAGAUGUCUCCGAUGAAGUUACGGCUGGGAUAAAUUGGUGCUGACAGACCACAAUUAGGAGAGCCGUCGUCGCCUGGCAUCAGCUGUCUGACCUGAGUAUUCACACAGAACCACUGGGGCUCUUGAAGAGUUAAAGAGACGGCUCCCCCACUCAGCGUCUCAGCACCUCAGCACCCACUCUGUUCCAUCCGACCAGUUCGACGAACUUCUCCCUCCAUCGACCUACCUAACCAGUCUUCCUCCCUUUCUAUCAAUCCUCACCCAUCCUUCCCAUACCCCCUCAUCCCUCGACCCCUUCUCCUCAUCCCUCGACCCUUUAUCCUCUCCACCCGUUAACCCUUUUCCUCCCACAGCAACGGUCUGUGGAGAGACAGCAGAGGAAGUGACCUGAUGAAGCCCAGGUGUUCCUGGACCCAUCAGAGGACAGAGACAGCUGCAGCAUCAGGACAGUCUGGGUAUCCAAAGGAAGACGCAUCAAGAUGAACACUGACAGCAGAGCUCCAUUACCAUCUCACACUUCAGUAUACUAGAAACCAUUUACCUUGAUACAUGAUCUGUACAGUUUACAUAAAAGUUAUAGCUUUGUUACUUGCAACAUGUGUAACUGGAAUAUGAAUGAAACAUAAAUAAAGUGUUUUACUUUUAAGAA
Dicentrarchus labrax (European seabass) is the source of this 871-nucleotide long non-coding RNA. RefSeq lists it as uncharacterized. The transcript has 3 exons. Lineage: Eukaryota; Metazoa; Chordata; Actinopteri; Moronidae. The record is from RefSeq and is a predicted model, not a curated record.